GGGGGAGCAAGCGUUGUUCGGAAUUACUGGGCGUAAAGGGCGCGUAGGCGGCCGAGUAAGUCGCGUGUGAAAUGCCGGGGCUCAACCCCGUGCACUGCACGCGAUACUGCUUGGCUCGAGAGAGGUAGGGGCGAGCGGAAUUCCCGGUGUAGCGGUGGAAUGCGUAGAUAUCGGGAAGAACACCAGUGGCGAAGGCGGCUCGCUGGACCUCUUCUGACGCUGAAGCGCGAAAGCGUGGGGAGCAAACAGGGAUUAGAUACCCUGGUAGUCCACGCCGUAAACGCUGGGUACUAGGUGUUGGGGGGGAUUGACCCCCUUCAGUGCCCGACGCUAACGCAUUAAGUACCCCGCCUGGGGAGUACGGUCGCAAGGCUG
Molecule: ribosomal RNA, 375 nt
Filed under: uncultured organism
Description: partial 16S ribosomal RNA
Rfam family: Bacterial small subunit ribosomal RNA
Source: RNAcentral